RNAcentral lists this transfer RNA (72 nucleotides) under Albugo candida. It matches the Rfam family "tRNA". Rfam says of the family: Transfer RNA (tRNA) molecules are approximately 80 nucleotides in length. Lineage: Eukaryota; Oomycota; Peronosporomycetes; Albuginales; Albuginaceae. The record is from Rfam by way of RNAcentral.
GGGCGCAUAGCGCAGUGGUAGCGCGUCCGCUUUGCAUGCGGAAGGCCCCGGGUUCAAUCCCCGGUGCGUCCA